ACUAUCUCCGUCCCUAAUUAUAAGAUCCUUUUGAAAAAAUAAUUUGUCCCUUUUUAUAAGACCCUUUUGGUAUUUCCAAGUACAUUAAUUAUUUCUUUACCAACAUACCCUUAUUUAUUUUGCAUUUUUUUCUUCAAUCAACAAUAAAUAUUAUAUUGAAAAUAUAAAUUAACUCUCUCUCUUAAGGAUAAAAUUGUAAAAACAAUAGUAAUUAUAUACAAAUUUAAUACUAC
Molecule: long non-coding RNA, 233 nt
Filed under: Medicago truncatula (barrel medic)
Lineage: Eukaryota; Viridiplantae; Streptophyta; Magnoliopsida; Fabales; Fabaceae
Description: long non-coding RNA (MTRU_LNC007189)
Source: RNAcentral